Molecule: long non-coding RNA, 253 nt
Organism: Ostrinia furnacalis (Asian corn borer)
Lineage: Eukaryota; Metazoa; Arthropoda; Insecta; Lepidoptera; Crambidae
Exons: 2
Source: RefSeq, a predicted model, not a curated record
AAUAGACCACUUCUUCAAAAUUGCCUUCUUACGCCAUCUAGCGUUAAAGCAUAACGUUACUAAGCCAAACUUUGAACGGCUCGCUAAAUACAAUAACGGGUCUAUGCAAGUAAGAACGUGUUUCUUGCGGAGUGAUGACGAAAGUUUAAAUUCAUAAUGUGAUUAUUUGGAUAGUAACGGCCGUUCGACACAAAAAUGGUGAUGUCGUAUUUCCGGAACCCACGUUUGGCUCUCAUUAUGGAAGCUGUGGACG